Exophiala bonariae is the source of this 99-nucleotide non-coding RNA. The record is from the annotation of a RefSeq genome assembly. NCBI's taxonomy places the organism in Eukaryota, Fungi, Ascomycota, Eurotiomycetes, Chaetothyriales, Herpotrichiellaceae.
UCAGUCGAUGGUGUAUCGGUAACAUACCUGGUUUUCAAUAGAAGACUUCAAGUGAUCUAUAUCACCCAGGCGCGCCGGGUUCGAUUCCCGGUCGGGGAA